RNAcentral lists this ribosomal RNA (628 nucleotides) under Penicillium palitans. RNAcentral describes it as "partial large subunit ribosomal RNA". It matches the Rfam family "Eukaryotic large subunit ribosomal RNA", at positions 22 to 665 of the family's 3401-position model. Lineage: Eukaryota; Fungi; Ascomycota; Eurotiomycetes; Eurotiales; Aspergillaceae. The record is from RNAcentral.
UACCCGCUGAAUUUAAGCAUAUCAAUAAGCGGAGGAAAAGAAACCAACAGGGAUUGCCCCAGUAACGGCGAGUGAAGCGGCAAGAGCUCAAAUUUGAAAGCUGGCUCCUUCGGGGUCCGCAUUGUAAUUUGCAGAGGAUGCUUCGGGAGCGGUCCCCAUCUAAGUGCCCUGGAACGGGACGUCAUAGAGGGUGAGAAUCCCGUAUGGGAUGGGGUGUCCGCGCCCGUGUGAAGCUCCUUCGACGAGUCGAGUUGUUUGGGAAUGCAGCUCUAAAUGGGUGGUAAAUUUCAUCUAAAGCUAAAUAUUGGCCGGAGACCGAUAGCGCACAAGUAGAGUGAUCGAAAGAUGAAAAGCACUUUGAAAAGAGAGUUAAAAAGCACGUGAAAUUGUUGAAAGGGAAGCGCUUGCGACCAGACUCGCUCGCGGGGUUCAGCCGGCAUUCGUGCCGGUGUAUUUCCCCGCGGGCGGGCCAGCGUCGGUUUGGGCGGUCGGUCAAAGGCCCUCGGAAGGUAACGCCCCUAGGGGCGUCUUAUAGCCGAGGGUGCAAUGCGACCUGCCUAGACCGAGGAACGCGCUUCGGCUCGGACGCUGGCAUAAUGGUCGUAAGCGACCCGUCUUGAAACACGGA